RNAcentral lists this transfer RNA (63 nucleotides) under Achilidae gen. 1 sp. n. 1 SX-2018. RNAcentral's name for it is "tRNA-Trp". The record is from RNAcentral. Lineage: Eukaryota; Metazoa; Arthropoda; Insecta; Hemiptera; Achilidae.
AAGGAUUUAAGUUAAAUAAACUAUUAGCCUUCAAAGUUGAAAAUAUGAGAUUUAUAAGCCUUA